Long non-coding RNA from Diabrotica virgifera virgifera (western corn rootworm), 409 nucleotides. RefSeq lists it as uncharacterized. The transcript has 3 exons. NCBI's taxonomy places the organism in Eukaryota, Metazoa, Arthropoda, Insecta, Coleoptera, Chrysomelidae. The record is from RefSeq and is a predicted model, not a curated record.
GUUUGAUUUCAUAAUUUCAUCAUUUGCUUUGAUCACUUGAUGGUAUCAACUUGGCGAUAAUUAAAUUAGAUAUUAUUAUUAUUAGUGUGAAUUCUUGGUAAAAGACAUCAAAAUUUGGCGGAUCAAGCACUUAUAAUUUUAUCAAAAGAGUAAUGUCAACUAUAUUGGCAGACAGUCUUAUUAUUGAGUAUAGUUGGCUGGGUCGGAAAGGAAAACGUAGCCUUGAGAGUACGAUGGUGGGAAAGCUGUUUGUAUCUGCAGCUGACAAAAGUGGUAUUUCGCCAAACAAAAAAAAAAACGGAGUAAGCGAUUAGAAGUUAUAUGAAAAGGGGAAAGGAGAGGCUGACAGCGAAAGAAAAUAAAAAUAUGAAUUAACAUGAACAUUAUUUAUGAAAUUUUAAUAAAAAUU